AUACUUACCUGGCAGGCAUGACACCAUGAUCAGGUGAGGUGUUUUAUCAGGGUGAGGCUUAUCCCCAGCACUCCAGGUGUACCAACCCCUGCGAUUUCCCCAAAUGCAGGAAAGUUGACAGCAAAAUUUGUGGGAGUGGUCAUUUUUUGUCUUUCUAGGGAACUGGCUG
Molecule: small nuclear RNA, 169 nt
Filed under: Numida meleagris (helmeted guineafowl)
Lineage: Eukaryota; Metazoa; Chordata; Aves; Galliformes; Numididae
Description: U1 spliceosomal RNA (ENSNMEG00000021360.1)
Rfam family: U1 spliceosomal RNA
About the family: U1 is a small nuclear RNA (snRNA) component of the spliceosome (involved in pre-mRNA splicing). Its 5' end forms complementary base pairs with the 5' splice junction, thus defining the 5' donor site of an intron.
Source: RNAcentral